ACUGAGACAGGUGCUGCAUGGCUGUCGUCAGCUCGUGUUGUGAAAUGUUGGGUUAAGUCCCGUAACGAGCGCAACCCUUGUCCUUAGUUACCAUCAUUAAGUUGGGGACUCUAAGGAGACUGCCGGUGACAAACCGGAGGAAGGCGGGGACGACGUCAAGUCAUCAUGGCCCUUACGAGUAGGGCUACACACGUGCUACAAUGGCGUAUACAAAGGGUUGCCAAGCCGCGAGGUGGAGCUAAUCUCAUAAAGUACGUCGUAGUCCGGAUUGGAGUNUGCAACUCGACUCCAUGAAGUCGGAAUCGCUAGUAAUCGUGAAUCAGAAUGUCACGGUGAAUACGUUCCCGGGCCUUGUACACACCGCCCGUCACACCAUGGGAGUGGGUUGCUCCAGAAGUAGAUAGCUUAACCUUCGGGAGGGCCGUUUACCACGGAGUGAUUCAUGACUGGGGUGAAGUCAR
RNAcentral lists this ribosomal RNA (461 nucleotides) under uncultured Oleispira sp. Its description in RNAcentral is "bacterial SSU rRNA". It matches the Rfam family "Bacterial small subunit ribosomal RNA", at positions 1028 to 1489 of the family's 1533-position model. Lineage: Bacteria; Pseudomonadati; Pseudomonadota; Gammaproteobacteria; Oceanospirillales; Oceanospirillaceae. The record is from RNAcentral.